RNAcentral lists this ribosomal RNA (593 nucleotides) under uncultured archaeon. RNAcentral's name for it is "bacterial SSU rRNA". It matches the Rfam family "Archaeal small subunit ribosomal RNA", at positions 71 to 649 of the family's 1478-position model. The record is from RNAcentral.
UUGAGACGCGGCAUACGGCUCAUUAACGCGUGGCUAACCUACCCUCAGGACGGAGACACCCCGGGAAACUGGGACUAAUAUCCGAUAGGCGAGGAGGCCUGGAAUGGUUUCUCACCUAAAAAACUUUGAGAACAUGCUUUCAUUGUUGCCUGAGGAUGGGGCCGCGCCCGAUCAGGUUGUUGGUGAGGUAAUGGCUCACCAAGCCUAUAACCGGUACGGGCCGUGAGAGCGGUAGCCCGGAGAUGGGUACUGAGACAAGGACCCAGGCCCUACGGGGCGCAGCAGUCGCGAAAACUCCGCAAUGCACGAAAGUGUGACGGGGCUACCCCGAGUGCUCUCCGCUGAGGAAAGCUUUUCCUUGGUAUAACUAGCCAGGGGAAUAAGGAGAGGGCAAGACUGGUGUCAGCCGCCGCGGUAAUACCAGCUCUCCGAGUGGUAGGGAUGAUUAUUGGGCUUAAAGCGUCCGUAGCCGGCUUAGCAAGUCUCCUGUUCAACUCAGCGACUUAAUCGUUGAAUCGCGGGAUAUACUACUAGGCUAGGAGGCGGGAGAGGUCGACGGUACUUCCGGGGUAGGGGUGAAAUCCUAUAAUCCC